AAGAACAAUGUAAUGGUUAUAAAGAACCUGGGGGAAUGUUAAUAUUAUUUUUAAUAUAUAGAAGACAUAUUCGUUCCUUUGAGUUUUGUCAAUUGAAUGUAUGUGUGAAUGGUAGUACUGUGUAGCACCAUCUGUCGGGUUGGAAGGUACCCGGAUUUUGGGGCGUCACAUGAUCCGAGUAUAUUGUUUGUAAAUAUUAAAAACUCUAUUUUAUCNNNNNNNNNNNNNNNNNNNNNNNNNNNNNNNNNNNNNNNNNNNNNNNNNNNNNNNNNNNNNNNNNNNNNNNNNNNNNNNNNNNNNNNNNNNNNNNNNNNNGGACUUAGUGUCAGGAUGUUCUUUUCAAAAGAACUUAUGAAAUGCUCAAGGUCUUGGACCGGAAUUGAUGUUUUACUGAAUAUUGUUUUUGUAAAAUAUUUUGAAGGAAAAGAAGUGCUAUUUUGAAUUAUCGAUAAUACUUCGUAACUAUUGUUUAGUUAUUGAAGAUAUACGAUUCCUAUGUUUCAAGCAUGUUGUUUAUUAGAAUUGUUGUACUUGCUGAGCUAGUCACUCUCACUCUUGCUUGAACCAUACGCGUGACGUCCCUAAAUUUGGGUCACAAAUCACCACAGAUCUAGUACAAUCAUUCUAUAACUAUUGCAGAAGAUAUAAACAUAAAUUAUUUAUACAAUAAACUUUACACACUAUUCCCCAAGGUCGAAAACCUUCACUUAAUACACAAUUCAUAAACUAUCUAACAUAAAACAUUAUUAUCAUACCAUACUAUUACAAAUCUAGUUGAACACAUUAACUUUAAGCUGGAAUUAUCUUUAACCUUUCCUUGUAUCUGCCGUGUUCGCCUUAAUCUGCAAUAUUUAUCAUUAUAUAGCAAGGGUGAGCUAGAAGGUUUCCCAGNNNNNNNNNNNNNNNNNNNNNNNNNNNNNNNNNNNNNNNNNNNNNNNNNNNNNNNNNNNNNNNNNNNNNNNNNNNNNNNNNNNNNNNNNNNNNNNNNNNNGCUUUUUGACACUCAACGUUCCAUUUCAUGGAUAAGUUCUUCCUUAACAAUUUGAAGAUAGGCUCACAGGUUGUUGUGAGUUAGGAAAUGAACAUGCUAAUGAAGUUGAUUCUUCCCAAAAAUCCUCGUAUUUCCUUCUCUGUUUGAGGAAUGGGCAUUUCUAUAAUGGUCUUGAUUUUUGUGGGAUCCAUCUCAAUCCCUUUGUGGCUGACUAGGAAACCUAGCAACUUGCCUGAUUUAAUGCCAAAUGUGCACUUGGCUGGAUUCAACUUCAAGUUGUACUUACGCAACCUGUUGAAUAGCUUUUUGAGAUGGUCUAUGUGGUCUUCUUCCCUUCGAGAUUUUAUAAUGAUGUCAUCCAUGUAGAUCUCUAUCUCACUAUGCAUUAAUUCAUGGAAAAGAGCCAUCAUGGCCCGCUGAUAAGAAGCUCCGUCAUUGAUGAGGCCGAAUGACAAUCGUCUAUAGCAAAAAGUUCCCCAAGGCGUGAUGAAUGCAGUUUUUUCACGAUCCUCUUCAGCAACCAUAAUUUGAUGGUACCCAACAAAGUAGUUAACAAAUGAGUACAUAUUGUAUUGAGCAGUAUUGUCGAUGAGUAUGUGGAUAAAUUUCACGGGAAAACUAUAACACCCCAGAAAAUUGAACCUUUUGUAAAUACUUUUAUAAUGAAUAAAAUAAUAUUAUUUUUUUAUUAUUAUGUGUUAGUAAGAUGAAUGUCAUUCUAUAACCUACAAACAUCGGAACGUCGUAGUAUUUUAACUAUGUGAGAGAAUUAAAGUGUUUGAAUUUUCAAGACGAAAAUAAAAGUUUUAUGACAAAUUUUCCAAAAAACACUAUUCAUCGAUUUAUGCUCGGAAAUUAUUUUUGAACAUCCGAGAAAUACGUAACGUUAUAAUAUCAAGGUGAGAUAGAUUAUGUAAUAAAAAUCCAAGUAUGGAAAACGUAAUAUUUUUGCAUGCGGACUUAGUUUGUUAAUGUUAAGAAAAUUAAGUACUAAGAAUUAAAUGUAAUGGUCGUAUGAUACUUAUGUAUUGUAUGAAUGAACGAAUACAAGUAUAAUAUGAAGUAUUAUACGGGUAUGUAUGGAGGAUGGUAUAAUGUAUAUUAUGAAUUAAUAUACGAGCUAGAAUACGAGAAUUAUACGUAUAGUAUAUGUUAUAAGACUUUUAGUUAAAUGGAAUGGACUAAUAGGAUUGUGUAACAAUUGAAGAGUCCAAUAAGAAUGAAGGUGGAAGCUCAAAUUGAUUUAAUGCAAGCCCAAUUGGAAUAAGCUUAGUUUGUUAACUUAAGCCUAAUGUAAUGAUCCAAUGGGUUAGACAUGAUCCAUGGAGCAAACCAAGGUUGAUAUGUGUUGUCUUGGUGGCAAGACCUUUGUGUGAUAGCCAAGUACUUUAAGUAAUGACCAAUUAAGAGAUAAGUGUUGUGCUUAGCAAGUAAUGAAUAGUAAGGAGGUGAUUAAAGGAGGUUCGAUGUCCUAAUGACUCUUAUGCCCUCACUUUGGCUUUCCUAUAAAUAGAAGGCUAGGGUUUUCAUUGUUGCUUGUUAUUUUUAACCAACAACUUCUCUUAUAAAACAACUUAUUAGUUUGAGAGAAUAAGCACAUAUAAGUCAAACAUCCUUUGUUAGAUUUUCAAAGAGGAAGAAGACUAGUUCAUCAAGGGUAAGACUCUUUUCUAAUAAUUACUAGUACUACAUCAUUGUAGGGUGAUAAGAGAAGUGUAACUUAAUAAGCAUGUAUGCUAAGAACAUGUAAGAAUUGAAUAAGCAAUGGACUUAAGCCGAAUAAGUCAUGAAUAAGUAAAUUGAACCUAAAUAAGCUAUAAACUUAUGAAGAACUUAUGAUGAACUUGUCAUUUGUUUGUCAUAUGAAGUUAGUAUGUUUGAUAAGAUGUGAGAAUGUUGAUUAAAGGACUUAAAUCUAUAAUAAGUCAUAAGGAAUGAAAAUUGGUAGUUUAUAAGUUGUUAAGUCAUGAACUUAUGAAGAAUAAGUCAAAACAUAACUUGAAAAUAAAUUGAUGUAACUUGUAGUUUAAAAUGUUCAUAUGAUGGUUAGAAUCCAUUUAGAACAUGAUCAAAUCAUUAGUAAUGAAGUUUCACUGGAAUUCACACGAUUGGACGAUAAUCGUCGAAUUCGUGAAAUUCUCGGUAUAGAAGUCAUAUUUUGUGUUAGGCAUUAUAGAGUUACAGACUCGAAAAUAAUCGGAUUCCGACUUAGAACAAAGAAACGAGCAUUGAACGUUCACGAACAUUUAUCGUUUUCGUUAAAAAAUGAACUAAUAGGUGAAAUUUUAGCAAACGAAAUCAAAUAGAUAAAAUUCUUGCAUGAACGCGUAGAGUAUGAAAUUUGUGAACCUUAGGCUCUUGAACGAGCCAAUUCGGACUUAUAACGAAUAUGUUAUGAGUCCGAAAAUUUCCCAAAGUUAAAAGUGUUAUGUGUGGCGCCGCAGCGCCAAGACCAGAUGUCAGGUACUGCUAACCUACGCCGCAGCGCGAGUUAAAGGGCAAUGAUCGGCACUGCAGGGCCAGUCCUAGGGUUUAGCCAGUGAAGAAGGUUUACAAGUAUGACAUGAAUGGUAACUCAUUAGUAAUGAACUAAGGCUUGAUUAUAAUAUUGUCAAGACAUGUUUAAACCUUAAGUAUUAUCAAUUAAGGUUAACGUAAGUCAAUUGUAUGUUAAUGUAGGAAUGACGUAACGAAAAGCCGGAACGAAUAAUAACAAAUCUAAGUCAUAAUUAGAUUGAGAAGAAGUGUAAGAUUCAUUAGGAACCAUGUAUAUUUAUUCAUGACCUAAUGUGUUAUGUGAUGUUGUCAUUACUAUAUAGACUUAAAGACUUAAACAAGACCGUGUUAUUAACUGCAGAAGACGUUAAAGGCAAGUAUUCUAACCCUUGUUCCAGUUCAAUCUGGACAAGCUUUGUAAUUCAUGUAUUCUUAUACAUGAAGUAUUGUAUGAUGAAGUCUAAGCCAACUCUUACGGCUAGACUUAUAUUGUGUUUCUAUCAAAGCAUGGUCAAUUUUUACCAAGUUAUAUUGGUGUGGUUUUCAAACGAAGAAUGAGUAUGCUAAAAAUGUUUUGUCGUCAAACAACAGGCACGUGAGGUUGCCACAAAUUAAACGUACAUACGUUUAAUGAAUGCAGUGUUGAUCAAUAUAGAGUACUAUAGGCUGAUCACCUAGACGUGAUCGUAAGAAAUGUUGGACUUACGGACUUAGUGUCAGGAUGUUCUUUUCAAAAGAACUUAUGAAAUGCUCAAGGUCUUGGACCGGAAUUGAUGUUUUACUGAAUAUUGUUUUUGUAAAAUAUUUUGAAGGAAAAGAAGUGCUAUUUUGAAUUAUCGAUAAUACUUCGUAACUAUUGUUUAGUUAUUGAAGAUAUACGAUUCCUAUGUUUCAAGCAUGUUGUUUAUUAGAAUUGUUGUACUUGCUGAGCUAGUCACUCUCACUCUUGCUUGAACCAUACGCGUGACGUCCCUAAAUUUGGGUCACAAAUCACCACAGAUCUAGUACAAUCAUUCUAUAACUAUUGCAGAAGAUAUAAACAUAAAUUAUUUAUACAAUAAACUUUACACACUAUUCCCCAAGGUCGAAAACCUUCACUUAAUACACAAUUCAUAAACUAUCUAACAUAAAACAUUAUUAUCAUACCAUACUAUUACAAAUCUAGUUGAACACAUUAACUUUAAGCUGGAAUUAUCUUUAACCUUUCCUUGUAUCUGCCGUGUUCGCCUUAAUCUGCAAUAUUUAUCAUUAUAUAGCAAGGGUGAGCUAGAAGGUUUCCCAGUAAGUUUAAAUUUAUUAAGUAUAUAUCAUGAUUGAAAGAGUCUGAAUAAUAAGCUGGCUAUAAUUCAUCAAUAUAGUUUUGAAUUAGCGCGAAGAAACUUUUGACUGAACAAGUAUUAAACAUGAACAAAUAUAUAUGGACUGAACGGUAAUGAAGGUGAUCAGUCUUUCAUACCUGACUUAUACAUGCAAUAUGUAUAGAGUACAAUUCUACAACGACAAUCAGCAAUGAUUAACCAUCAGCAUAUCUGAAUGAAACAACUCUAAGUAGAGUUAAGAAAAACUUGCCUAUUUCAUUGAUUAUCGCUACACAUUUUAUAUCGCUUUAUCUGAAGACCUAAUAUUAGUAAUAGAGAUUUCCAAUAUUAGAAUAAUAUCAUCACGGUAUAGUACUAUUAUAUAUAUAUAUAUAUAUAAAUAGAAUAACCUAAACACAUAACACAUAACCCUAUCAGUCUAUACAGUACAUAAGAACUUGGUAAAAAUGCGGCGUUCAGAACCAGUCUUGAAGUGAAUGAAUUAGAAAGAACGAAGAAGUAAGGAAAUGAGACGACUCUUUCUUGAACUAUAUCAUAAACAGAUCUUCCCCUCCACGCCAAUCACGAGUUUUUCUCCAUUCCUCUCGUAUAUCGUCGUAACACCCUUAAUGCUAGGUUUUGAAAAAGACUUUUCAUGUCAUUCCCAUUUAGGUCCGAUUCGGAUCCCUCCGUUGUUUCCUUUUCCUUCCGCACCCUUUCCUCGAAAUGAGAAAGAAGAUGGUACACUUGAAUUGUAUUAUUUAAGUGCUUAUAGCUUGCCAAAAAUCCUACUUCUACAAUUGGUAGGUCACCGGGUUAUUCAAAUAAGUCGUGUUUUCCGUGGUUUUCCCAUGUUACAACUUCCGUACCAAUUCGGUCGAUCCGGAAUGGAUCGGUUAAACAUUCCAUUAGGGAGCCUGGUCUUGACUCUUCUGUGUGGUAUUCAUUCUCGUUCGGCUCUUGGAAUCACAUCCAGCAGUGGUUGGAACAGCUCGCAAAAUCCAACCACUUCACCUACUUCAUUGCCCCCAACCCUUUCUCGUACCUCUAUUGAAACAGAAUGGUUUCAUGUUCUUUCAUCGAUUGGUUAUUCCUCUCCGUUCGUAUCUCUUUCUCCAAUUUCGGUCUCGAUUAGUUCACAAGAUUGAAUGGCCAAUUCUCCUCCGGACCCUCGAUUCGAUUGUUUUCCAAGAAUAUUGAGCCGGGUAUGUAAGCCAUGUAUCUGGGAGGAACUUUAAAGAAGGGCUUUCGGUUCCCUCUUGCAGCUAUUUAAAUAAUAAUAAUAAAGAUAUAUAUAAGAAUCUCUUUUUUAGAAGAAAGAUUCUAUAUAUGUCCAAUCUCUAGUGGUGGUGGGACCAACCAAGAUGUAUGUCGUCCGACCCGACCUCAGACUCUUUCUUCCCGACCUAUNNNNNNNNNNNNNNNNNNNNNNNNNNNNNNNNNNNNNNNNNNNNNNNNNNNNNNNNNNNNNNNNNNNNNNNNNNNNNNNNNNNNNNNNNNNNNNNNNNNNUGAUUUAAUGCAAGCCCAAUUGGAAUAAGCUUAGUUUGUUAACUUAAGCCUAAUGUAAUGAUCCAAUGGGUUAGACAUGAUCCAUGGAGCAAACCAAGGUUGAUAUGUGUUGUCUUGGUGGCAAGACCUUUGUGUGAUAGCCAAGUACUUUAAGUAAUGACCAAUUAAGAGAUAAGUGUUGUGCUUAGCAAGUAAUGAAUAGUAAGGAGGUGAUUAAAGGAGGUUCGAUGUCCUAAUGACUCUUAUGCCCUCACUUUGGCUUUCCUAUAAAUAGAAGGCUAGGGUUUUCAUUGUUGCUUGUUAUUUUUAACCAACAACUUCUCUUAUAAAACAACUUAUUAGUUUGAGAGAAUAAGCACAUAUAAGUCAAACAUCCUUUGUUAGAUUUUCAAAGAGGAAGAAGACUAGUUCAUCAAGGGUAAGACUCUUUUCUAAUAAUUACUAGUACUACAUCAUUGUAGGGUGAUAAGAGAAGUGUAACUUAAUAAGCAUGUAUGCUAAGAACAUGUAAGAAUUGAAUAAGCAAUGGACUUAAGCCGAAUAAGUCAUGAAUAAGUAAAUUGAACCUAAAUAAGCUAUAAACUUAUGAAGAACUUAUGAUGAACUUGUCAUUUGUUUGUCAUAUGAAGUUAGUAUGUUUGAUAAGAUGUGAGAAUGUUGAUUAAAGGACUUAAAUCUAUAAUAAGUCAUAAGGAAUGAAAAUUNNNNNNNNNNNNNNNNNNNNNNNNNNNNNNNNNNNNNNNNNNNNNNNNNNNNNNNNNNNNNNNNNNNNNNNNNNNNNNNNNNNNNNNNNNNNNNNNNNNNAGGUACGAAGAAUGAAUCUAUAUCUGUGCACGGAAGUUGCUGGCCGGCGGCCGCUCAACUGUUCGAGCGCAGUGGUAUUGGUUCCGAUUCGACAAAGGUAGAAUGCCUGGUCGAGGGUCCAGUACAGUAGGUAGCAGGCGUGUUCGUUUUGGCUCCCGAGCGAGAACGAGAAAUAGGCGAUGCACCAUCCUUGCUGCUACGUACGUUGACCUUGACUUGACAGAUUCAUCCAAUUGAACUCACACUCAAAGGAGGACCACAAGCUCGGGGCUCGACGAAACAGAAAGUAUCAGCAUUAAGAAAAUGGGGUUAGCAGUGAAAGAAAGAGCCCGGCAUUCAUUUCUUCAUGAAUAUUCAUAGCGGAGUCUACUAAAAGAGGGACCAGCUCAUCAUGGUGAUUAGAGGACACCUCUGAUCGUUCACCUCUAAUGUGACACGUUCCCUCCCAGUUAUAUGAUCAACGGGAUCAGUCGGCUAGAGAGCGGGGCUAUUCUUCUUCCGGGGAGACAAAGUAGUCCCUUCUACUGACCGAACCCUAAGUUCGGAGGUCUUCGUCAACAUGUUACGAAGCUCCAGUCUUCGGCGGGUCACCAUGACUUUACUUAGAAAGGCGAACAUCUGGGCAAGGGAAAGCGCAGUGCGCCUGGUGCAAAUGGUUUUCUUUUCUCAUGAUAUACCAAUCAGAAUGGAGGGUCCUACCUACGUACAUGAUUGAUAGAAUCACUACGUAGGGGGGGCGGUCAACUUGAUGCGGGAGAGGCAUGAGUGCAGUUCGAUCUUGUGGUGUAUUCGUUUGUAGUGAGUAGGGCCUCUUUCUCGUUGAUCAGUUCGCCUCCGCUCUAUUGAAAGGUCUCCAUUCCUACGGCGGUUUUGUCAACGAACGCGUCUCGGGCCGGAUUGACUAACCUAACCCUUAAGGAGGCCUUGCCAUAGUUGGGUGCUCUGCUUUAGUGUGAUUGACGAAGGCUAGGCUAGGUUUGGGAAUACCAAAAAAAAGGAAAAGAGAUCGGGGUCGAUAGUUGGCAAGGAACUGGACCCCCAAAAAAGGGGGGGCAGCUGCGGCCGAACUCGAAUUCUGGAAAAAGUAGGGGCCCUUUUACCAAGUCUACCAGAUAGAAGAUGAUAGAGGGCCAACUAUCGUUGCGUUGCACAAGACGGUGCCAUUUCACUUCGAGUUCCUUCCUUCGUAGUCAAAUCUGAUGAUACGCUUUGGCGAUGUUACCUACAAAAUAAAAGGCCUGCUAGGUGAUCGAAAUCCCUCAGGUCAGUGAGGACUCACUCACUCACCUACUCCUUAUCUAUCUAAUAGUUUCUUCUAUCUACUGAAUUCAAAAGGCGACCCGCCGCGCCGGGCUAUAAGAUAAGAUACAGCUGUUGUACUACUUGACUGGUAAGAAAGAGCUUCCGUAAGAACUGGAAGACUCUUGUAUGUACGGUAACCCUCUCUUCCGCUACUGGUGGACUGUUGCACAGAAAGGCCGACAGAAGCAACGUUUCUUAGCGCGCCUUUCAAGCGCUUAGCUUCUGCUAGCGGCGGGGCGGCAAGGCCAUAAAGUAAGUUCAGUUGGAAGCCUAAGCCAAGAAGGUACGAACGAAGUGACGGGCCCCUUUAGAGAUAGGGGGCGGCUUUCUUGUGGUAGUAAUUGCGAACAUCUCUCCUCUUCUCUUAGCGUGCACAGUUUGCUUACAUGCCGCCUUAGGCACAUCUCUCUUUCUUAGUUUCACGCUGGCCUAAUGAAUGAAUGAAAGUCAGUCUUUUAGUAAGCGUAUAUAAGCAGCUGUUUAGUGUAUAAGCAAUUCUUUAGUGGUCGCACCGAAAGGUACGUACGGUGGAGGUUGGUUGAAGAUGAUGUUAUGCGGCGUUCAGAACCAGUCUUGAAGUGAAUGAAUUAGAAAGAACGAAGAAGUAAGGAAAUGAGACGACUCUUUCUUGAACUAUAUCAUAAACAGAUCUUCCCCUCCACGCCAAUCACGAGUUUUUCUCCAUUCCUCUCGUAUAUCGUCGUAACACCCUUAAUGCUAGGUUUUGAAAAAGACUUUUCAUGUCAUUCCCAUUUAGGUCCGAUUCGGAUCCCUCCGUUGUUUCCUUUUCCUUCCGCACCCUUUCCUCGAAAUGAGAAAGAAGAUGGUACACUUGAAUUGUAUUCUUUAAGUGCUUAUUGCUUGCCAAAAAUCCUACUUCUACAAUUGGUAGGUCACCGGGUUAUUCAAAUAAGUCGUGUUUUCCGUGGUUUUCCCAUGUUACAACUUCCGUACCAAUUCGGUCGAUCCGGAAUGGAUCGGUUAAACAUUCCAUUAGGGAGCCUGGUCUUGACUCUUUUGUGUGGUAUUCAUUCUCGUUCGGCUCUUGGAAUCACAUCCAGUAGUGGUUGGAACAGCUCGCAAAAUCCAACCACUUCACCUACUUCAUUGGCCCCAACCCUUUCUUGUACCUCUAUUGAAACAGAAUGGUUUCAUGUUCUUUCAUCGAUUGUUUAUUCCUCUCCGUUCGUAUCUCUUUCUCCAAUUUUGGUCUCGAUUAGUUCACAAGAUUGAAUGGCCAAUUCUCCUUCGGACCCUCGAUUCGAUUGUUUUCCAAGAAUAUUGAGUCGGGCAUUUAAGCCAUGUAUCUGGGAGGAACUUUAAAGAAGGGCUUUCAGUUCCCUCUUGCAGCUAUUUAAAUAAUAAUAAUAAAGAUAUAUAUAAGAAUCUCUUUUUUAGAAGAAAGAUUCUAUAUAUGUCCAAUCUCUAGUGGUGGUGGGACCAACCAAGAUGUAUGUCGUCCGACCCGACCUCAGACUCUUUCUUCCCGACCUAUUUUACUCUCUGGCCGCAGUUAUUUAGGUGGUAUCCCGAGAUUGAAGAGAUCGAAUUCCUCCCGGGAACAAACGAAACAAAGAUAUGAAUUGGGUAAAUAGAAAUUGAAAAGAGAUGUUUCCAAUUCAUCAAAAUGAUAAGCUUUUUCUACAUCCAUAUGAUCUACUAAAGUGAAAGUAGAUCGGUAUUGCCCAUAUAAUAAAAGAAGAUCUUGGUCCAUGGAGUCCCAAGAAGGUAAGAACUCCAACCUGUCCGAUGCUUCUUCGGCCAAAUACGAUAUACAAGUGGGACCUGCACUAUGAGCAAGAUGUGCGAAAAACUGCUUCUCGAUUUUGAAACAACUUGGACAAAAUAGGGUUCUACCGGGAAACCAUGGAUUUUUGAGUUUUCGCCAUUGGUUACUGGUUCAGCCACUGGAAUUGAAUGAGAUAAGAAUCUCUGGAGAUCUAUCCUCCCCACUUACUCGUAACAGGCUUUCCCUCUGUAGAAGGCUUCUUCCGAAUGACAUAAUUGUCCUAUUUUUUCCUCGAUCUUCAAAUAAAACUGACUCCUCCUACUCCUCCUUCUCCUUUAGGAUAGGAUCGUCGUUGGUCCUUCUUUCACUAAUGAUCUCACCAUUUUCUAGUAGUUCGCGCGAAUGACUAUCCUUUCUAUCGCUUGCCCUUGCUUUUCACUCUCAAGACAAGGCUCUCUCUUCUAUAAAGUGAAGCAAAACGCAUGGCGCUGAAGUGAACAAAGCUCAAUAAAGACACACGAACACGAUGCAGGGCAUAGCAUAAAUGAAACCGUUGAUCAUUUCAUAAAACAUAUAUGCUUGACCUUUCUCGAUGCUUUUUUGGGGGUGACUCACCAACCGACCCAGCAGUGAUCGAUGACAGAAUGGUACGAACAAAUCAAAGUCAUUAGAUUUGGUAGUUCUCCAUGGACUUCUCUCUUUACCCCUUUGCAUAUGUUCGUGCACCUCCAGAUGGGCGGGGGCCGGCCUCCCACUCCCUUAUGCAGCAUUUAUUAGCUUAGCUGGGUUGGGUGGAUCAUGCAUUAGAAUGAAUCAGGUAGUUUACUGACUCGACUGGGCAUCUAUUUGAUGACAUCCUAGCCCUCGAGGUGUCAUCAAUAUUGAGUUCUUCCAUGAAGGGCAAAGAAGUGAGACAAGAAGACCCAAAGACAAGAGCUCGACUAAGCAUCUUUAAAGGUUGUUUACAAACUCGACCGAGAGGAGAGGAGGGAGGCUCGGACUAUCAUGGGGGUUAUUCGGAUUCCAACCCGAGUAGUGGGGCAUUUCGCCUCACCAUAGUUUGUGAAGGGAGGCCUGUGCGCCAAGAAGCCCCUGGCCUGUGUGCCCCUUUCCUUUCACUUUGAGUUUUGUUUUGAUUGGCCGUGUACCGGCCCUGCAUGUAUGGCCAAUGGCCCCUUUUGAUCAAUAGACUGCAUGCUCUUUCGCUUAUUUGUAUUCUCUUUUCUCUUUGAUUGAGACUAAAUCGUCUCUUCUUUCAAAAGAGUUCCCACCUACCGCUAUUACUACUAACAAGAGACUAGCAGCGGCAAGAGAGCAAUUCUCUUCCCUUCUUCUUCACUCAUAGUUCUAUCUUUCUUCCUAAGAUAAGUAAGAUCGGUGCCUUUGCUCUGGGAAGACCCGUAAAUCAGAAAACUGAGUAUGAUAACGCCUCCCUUCUAGUCUAUAGUAGCCCUUCUUCCUCCAACCCUGAGUUCCAGUGAGACCAGCCGAGCCAAGCGAGUCCAAUAACAGCUUCGUCAAUAGCAGAGGAUAUCCCUCCAACAGCUAUCUUUUAGGAUGGCACUUGCACUUGGGUUGGGAGCUUUCCCUUCUCUUUUAAGAUGCUGCUCCCGGCUUUUGGACAACUAGAACAUCGACAGAUAGAGCGAAGAGUCCAUAAGGAGAGGAGCUUAGUUGACAGGUACGUACGUACGGGGUUCAGCAGCUGUCCUAAGAGGUAAAGCAGCGGACUUAGCGAGAUUAGGGCGAGACGAGCGCAGUCAAAAUCAAAGGCCCUAGUAUGAAAUCGGGUCUUGAUGAUUCGAUUCUCUUUUAAGAAAGGCCUUCUUCCCGAUAGAAUGACUAUGAGAAGGGAAAACUAAAUGAAGAGAAAUGAAUAGUUAUCCACCAGAGCCUCAUGCUUGUCUUUCGUUGUGCUAGCCCUCAUCAGGGAACAUUAGUGUCGAUCGGAUCGAGAGCUCCGGAAGGUUCAUAAACUCUUGUUACAGCUUCAAAUCUUCUGAUAUUGUGUUGCUGCUCAGUUAGACGACAUAUAAGGUUUAAGCUCAGCCUUAUCUUAUGGGUAGUCUCUAUAUUAGGCCCAGCUGCUUCAUUUCUCUUUAUAUCCGUAUUCCCCUACGGAUUCAAAAGAGUUUUUGCACGGAAGGCAAUAGAAAAGUCGUCUAAGAAUAGGAAAAAAUCCGAUUAGUAUAGGUGGAUUUUGAGCGGAGGCAGGAAAGUUUCUAAGGUGGAGUUCCUAGGCAAACUCCAUAUUUAAAAAAGGGACCUUCCAUAAAGCAACAUCUCUCAGAUGGGGAAUCUUCUGAAAUUGCGUAAGAAAAAUAAGACAGAGAUUCUUAUUUGCUUGAUCAUUGGCGCGGUAAAUGCGUUUGACUGAACUUCCCAUUGUUUUCUCUCCGAUAGCAUGCAGCCGAUAAUAGAGAAAGAUAUCUAGAAAGUGUGAAGUGAGGACUAAAUGUUUAUCACUUGUUUAUCUCCGCCUACGACUACAUGCUACCAGUCGGCUUCAAAAAACGUAUUUUGAUCCCACCUUAUUUAGGGAACUUUUACUAGUAAGGUUUUACACUGGGCUUGCUUCAACUUUGCGAUCUCUAAGGUCCGUCGUACUGCCAGGAGGAUCUUUAUUCAUAAAUAUCUAUUGACAUCAUAGCCCUUCCCAAUCAAAUAAAGAAGUAUGCAAUACUAAUAAUCUACGAAACCAAGGAGGUAUCCCCCUCAAGUGGAACAAGGAGUAGGCG
Molecule: long non-coding RNA, 12868 nt
Filed under: Panax ginseng (ginseng)
Lineage: Eukaryota; Viridiplantae; Streptophyta; Magnoliopsida; Apiales; Araliaceae
Description: long non-coding RNA (PGIN_LNC006386)
Source: RNAcentral